RNAcentral lists this ribosomal RNA (468 nucleotides) under uncultured bacterium. RNAcentral describes it as "partial 16S ribosomal RNA". It matches the Rfam family "Bacterial small subunit ribosomal RNA", at positions 28 to 507 of the family's 1533-position model. The record is from RNAcentral.
GACGAACGCUGGCGGCGUGCUUAACACAUGCAAGUCGAACGGAAAGGCCCUGCUUUUGUGUGGUGCUCGAGUGGCGAACGGGUGAGUAACAUGUGAGUAACCUUGCCUGGACUUUGGGAUAACUUCAGGCAACUGGUGCUAAUGCCUGAGAGGAGCGCCUGCAGCAUGGUGGGGGUUGGACAGCUUCGGCGGUUGGGGGUGGACUCGCGGCUUACUAGCUGGUUGGGGGGGUAGUUGCUUACCCAGGGAUUGACGGGUAGCCGGCCUGGGAGGGUGACCGGCCACAUGGGGACUGAGAUACGGCGCAGACUCCUACGGGAGGCAGCAGUGGAGAAUAUUGCACAAUGGGCGGAAGCCUGAUGCAGCAACGCCGCGUGCGGGAUGACGGCCUUCGGGUUGUAAACCGCUUUCGCCUGUGACGAAGCGUGAGUGACGGUAAUGGGUAAAGAAGCACCGGCUAACUACGUG